This 58-nucleotide transfer RNA is filed under the name Streptococcus mutans. RNAcentral's name for it is "tRNA-Thr". It matches the Rfam family "tRNA", at positions 8 to 63 of the family's 71-position model. From Rfam's summary of the family: Transfer RNA (tRNA) molecules are approximately 80 nucleotides in length. Their secondary structure includes four short double-helical elements and three loops (D, anti-codon, and T loops). Further hydrogen bonds mediate the characteristic L-shaped molecular structure. tRNAs have two regions of fundamental functional importance: the anti-codon, which is responsible for specific mRNA codon recognition, and the 3' end, to which the tRNAs corresponding amino acid is attached (by aminoacyl-tRNA synthetases). tRNAs cope with the degeneracy of the genetic code in two manners: having more than one tRNA (with a specific anti-codon) for a particular amino acid; and 'wobble' base-pairing, i.e. permitting non-standard base-pairing at the 3rd anti-codon position. The record is from RNAcentral. Lineage: Bacteria; Bacillati; Bacillota; Bacilli; Lactobacillales; Streptococcaceae.
UAGCUCAGUUGGUAGAGCAUCUGAUUUGUAAUCAGAGGGUCGCGUGUUCGAAUCCUAU